GGAGACUAUUUUUAGGCCUUUUAUAAGUAAAUAUUACAAGAGGUGAACCAUAAAUUGGGUUUUGAAUUAGGACCGAAUUGUUAUGGUUAUGGUAAGUACAGGCAUCUUCUGUAAAUAGUUGUAUCCUUUCUAAUCGUAAGCAACUUUUCAGAAAUACAAUUUUUCUCCGUUUACUUCUAUCUUUCCUUUCUGCUGUUUUUCUAAUAGUACUGGUCAUUUUAAAUUGUACAGAUGGCAAUAAUAUCUCUAUAUUCCACAUAAGGAUCAACCUAUUUGAGCAUUGCUCUGUGGAUAGCUGAUCAAUGGACUCAGGUACCUUUGAGGUCACUCAUAGUCGCUGACCACAGCCACAAGCCUGCAACCCAGCCCAGAUUCAGCUCCGAUGGAUUAUUUGGCUGUGUCUCUGCAAAUGUACAAAAAGGGAAUAAAUGGGAAAAUAAAAUGCAGGUGAUAGAAUUUUAUCAUUAUUGAUUACUAAUGUCUGCCAAAAUAUCAGUGAAUUAUGAAAUAUGGAUGCUGCUGCUGACUGGAUAAGGGAUUGAUAAUCUAUGGAUUAUCAAUUCUGCCACUAGGAAUUAGCGCAUAUAUGCUCCAGUAAAUGGUCUUAAAGAGGUUGACUAUUUAACUCUUUACUGAUUAUAUACGAUCUUAAUCAGUUCAUGCAAAAGGGAGUAAUUUCAUACCAAAGUAGUUUUCAACUGGCAUUAUUAUAAUGGUUUUGAUUUAUCAUUUUUUCUUAUAUUCAGUAUGCCGAAGAUUUUGAAUGAGUAUUUGAACAUUAUAUAGGUAAGUCUUGGAAUUUGGGCACUUGUCUUUAUUCGUACAUCCCAGUGAAAUUAUAUAAAACUGUUGCAAAUUGAUAUGUUUGGAACAUGAACAUUGUUCUCUACCGUAUAUGCAUGCUACCCAAAUAUAUAAAGUAGCUUUACAUAUGAAAAUUGAUGUAUCUAACAGCUUUGAGCAUGAUUGUGUCUUCUUGCAUUCGGCAUUUUAAUUUCCGUGCUUUGUUUCUUUCCACAAAUGGUUAUUAUUUUGUGAUCCUCUUAUUCUAUAACUACCUUCUCUUUGCCUGUUUAUAUCUUACUUAUCUUACCUUUUCAAUUGUAAAUAUGCAUGCAAAGAUAAAACGUCUGUUGGAUCAAGUGAGUUGAUGAUGACGCUGGGGUGCUGUUAUCUGUCAUGUCUCGGAAGUCUGAAACCAGAAAUGCUAUGGGGAGAUUGCCCAUACCGAAGAUAAAGUGUUUGCCUUUUAGUUAGCACAGGUUUGGAAUGAAAAAAUUGUUUGUAGGAGACAUUCUCCAAAUAUCAUGUUUGGUAAUUAGUUGUAAAAAAGAACUCAUAAUGCAUUAAAGAAAAAUGUUCAUGACAAGGGAAUGCUCCUUACCUUAGGCGUACCUUUUUCUUUCUUUGGAGAACUCACGAAAUAUAGACAAAUCUAAACAUGAAGUUAUGAACAUUAUUCAAAUGAAAGUAGUUGAAAG
This 1481-nucleotide long non-coding RNA is filed under the name Vigna radiata. RNAcentral describes it as "long non-coding RNA (VRAD_LNC009668)". The record is from RNAcentral. Lineage: Eukaryota; Viridiplantae; Streptophyta; Magnoliopsida; Fabales; Fabaceae.